RNAcentral lists this ribosomal RNA (1554 nucleotides) under Salmonella enterica subsp. salamae. RNAcentral describes it as "partial 23S ribosomal RNA". It matches the Rfam family "Bacterial large subunit ribosomal RNA", at positions 711 to 2166 of the family's 2925-position model. The record is from RNAcentral. Lineage: Bacteria; Pseudomonadati; Pseudomonadota; Gammaproteobacteria; Enterobacterales; Enterobacteriaceae.
AGACCCGAAACCCGGUGAUCUAGCCAUGGGCAGGUUGAAGGUUGGGUAACACUAACUGGAGGACCGAACCGACUAAUGUUGAAAAAUUAGCGGAUGACCUGUGGCUGGGGGUGAAAGGCCAAUCAAACCGGGAGAUAGCUGGUUCUCCCCGAAAGCUAUUUAGGUAGCGCCUCGUGAACUCAUCUCCGGGGGUAGAGCACUGUUUCGGCUAGGGGGCCAUCCCGGCUUACCAACCCGAUGCAAACUGCGAAUACCGGAGAAUGUUAUCACGGGAGACACACGGCGGGUGCUAACGUCCGUCGUGAAGAGGGAAACAACCCAGACCGCCAGCUAAGGUCCCAAAGUCAUGGUUAAGUGGGAAACGAUGUGGGAAGGCCCAGACAGCCAGGAUGUUGGCUUAGAAGCAGCCAUCAUUUAAAGAAAGCGUAAUAGCUCACUGGUCGAGUCGGCCUGCGCGGAAGAUGUAACGGGGCUAAACCAUGCACCGAAGCUGCGGCAGCGAACGUAUCACUUAAAACGAUUCAGAAGAUUACGAUUGACGGAGCGAAGCGACGUCAAAGCGUAUACAAAGUCGAGUCGGUUUAAGGAUACGUUCGUUGGGUAGGGGAGCGUUCUGUAAGCCGUUGAAGGUGGCCUGUGAGGGUUGCUGGAGGUAUCAGAAGUGCGAAUGCUGACAUAAGUAACGAUAAAGCGGGUGAAAAGCCCGCUCGCCGGAAGACCAAGGGUUCCUGUCCAACGUUAAUCGGGGCAGGGUGAGUCGACCCCUAAGGCGAGGCCGAAAGGCGUAGUCGAUGGGAAACGGGUUAAUAUUCCCGUACUUGGUGUUACUGCGAAGGGGGGACGGAGAAGGCUAUGUUGGCCGGGCGACGGUUGUCCCGGUUUAAGCGUGUAGGCUGACUUUCCAGGCAAAUCCGGAGAGUCAAGGCUGAGGCGUGACGACGAGGCACCACGGUGCUGAAGCAACAAAUGCCCUGCUUCCAGGAAAAGCCUCUAAGCAUCAGGUAACAUCAAAUCGUACCCCAAACCGACACAGGUGGUCAGGUAGAGAAUACCAAGGCGCUUGAGAGAACUCGGGUGAAGGAACUAGGCAAAAUGGUGCCGUAACUUCGGGAGAAGGCACGCUGACACGUAGGUGAAGUGAUUUACUCAUGGAGCUGAAGUCAGUCGAAGAUACCAGCUGGCUGCAACUGUUUAUUAAAAACACAGCACUGUGCAAACACGAAAGUGGACGUAUACGGUGUGACGCCUGCCCGGUGCCGGAAGGUUAAUUGAUGGGGUCAGCGCAAGCGAAGCUCCUGAUCGAAGCCCCGGUAAACGGCGGCCGUAACUAUAACGGUCCUAAGGUAGCGAAAUUCCUUGUCGGGUAAGUUCCGACCUGCACGAAUGGCGUAAUGAUGGCCAGGCUGUCUCCACCCGAGACUCAGUGAAAUUGAACUCGCUGUGAAGAUGCAGUGUACCCGCGGCAAGACGGAAAGACCCCGUGAACCUUUACUAUAGCUUGACACUGAACAUUGAGCCUUGAUGUGUAGGAUAGGUGGGAGGCUUUGAAGCGUG